GAAUCUUGCUGUUCUAUGCUUUUUAUGUGUUGAUAAUUGAGUAACACUUUUAUUUUUUGAACAGGUCAGUACGUCAGAGCUGUCUUUCUACAUUUAUGCUUCGUACUUCCUAGAAAUUUCAUGAUCUUCCUAUGCAUGCAGGUAUAUUGAGAUGAUUUCUUUGGAGCAAUUCUUGACAACAUUUGUAGUUGAGGCCUUUAGAAUGGAAGAAUGUAUUUCACUAAUUUUUGUAUACAUUUCUUGUUUUGUAUUUAGUGAUUAAGGAAUCUAAAUUGGGCAUAAAUUAUGUUGUAAUAUGAUUUCUUAAGCCUAGACUAGUAGACUAAAUAUUGUAAUUACAUUUUGAGUAAUUAAUAAAAAUCUAUUUAUGUUA
Long non-coding RNA from Humulus lupulus (European hop), 373 nucleotides. RefSeq lists it as uncharacterized. NCBI's taxonomy places the organism in Eukaryota, Viridiplantae, Streptophyta, Magnoliopsida, Rosales, Cannabaceae. The record is from RefSeq and is a predicted model, not a curated record. The transcript has 2 exons.